AUGCCUCCCUCCAUCUUCGUUUAUGCUUCAUCCAUCAUCGUCACGGAUUUCAUCCUUUUCGUCUGUUCGUUGUGGAUCUCUUUCCACUUUGAUUUAGGAUCGUUCCUCUUCGUCCAUCCAUUAUGGAUUUCUCUUCUGCGAUUUCAAGGAAGACGCGGAUUGCCGUUGCUCCGUUUGUGUUUGUGUCCCGACUUGCGAAGCGAAAUACGAAGAGGAUAA
This is a non-coding RNA of Vicia faba (fava bean), 219 nucleotides long. Lineage: Eukaryota; Viridiplantae; Streptophyta; Magnoliopsida; Fabales; Fabaceae. The record is from the annotation of a GenBank genome assembly.